This 618-nucleotide ribosomal RNA is filed under the name cyanobacterium GSP302-4. Its description in RNAcentral is "bacterial SSU rRNA". It matches the Rfam family "Bacterial small subunit ribosomal RNA", at positions 124 to 773 of the family's 1533-position model. RNAcentral also lists the same sequence under 1 other name. The record is from RNAcentral. Lineage: Bacteria; Bacillati; Cyanobacteriota.
AUCUACCUUCAGGACGGGGACAACAGCUGGAAACGGCUGCUAAUACCCGAUAUGCCGAAAGGUGAAACGUUGUUUCGCCUGGAGAGGAGCUCGCGUCCGAUUAGCUAGUUGGUGGGGUAAAAGCUUACCAAGGCGACGAUCGGUAGCUGGUCUGAGAGGAUGAGCAGCCACACUGGAACUGAGACACGGUCCAGACUCCUACGGGAGGCAGCAGUGGGGAAUUUUCCGCAAUGGGCGAAAGCCUGACGGAGCAACGCCGCGUGGGGGAAGAAGGUUUUUGGAUUGUAAACCCCUUUUCUCAAGGAAGAACAAAAUGACGGUACUUGAGGAAUCAGCCUCGGCUAACUCCGUGCCAGCAGCCGCGGUAAUACGGAGGAGGCAAGCGUUAUCCGGAAUUAUUGGGCGUAAAGCGUUCGUAGGCGGCUGUUCAAGUCUGCUGUCAAAGACCGAGGCUCAACCUCGGGUCGGCAGUGGAAACUGGAUAGCUAGAGGUCGGUAGGGGCAGAGGGAAUUCCCAGUGUAGCGGUGAAAUGCGUAGAUAUUGGGAAGAACACCGGUGGCGAAAGCGCUCUGCUGGGCCGAACCUGACGCUGAGGGACGAAAGCUAGGGGAGCGAAU